This 80-nucleotide long non-coding RNA is filed under the name Mus pahari (shrew mouse). RNAcentral's name for it is "sRNA (MGP_PahariEiJ_G0008110.1)". It matches the Rfam family "Six3os1 conserved region 1". The record is from RNAcentral. Lineage: Eukaryota; Metazoa; Chordata; Mammalia; Rodentia; Muridae.
UCCUUGGCUUCCUGUGUGCAUGUCUGGGCGUCACUCCAAGUGGACGUGGUAGCUUUUGUCUGCCUCUGGACAACAAGGUG